Molecule: ribosomal RNA, 821 nt
Filed under: uncultured bacterium
Lineage: Bacteria
Description: bacterial SSU rRNA
Rfam family: Bacterial small subunit ribosomal RNA
Source: RNAcentral
CUCAUACUGGAGGAUAGCCUUUGGAAACGAAGAUUAAUACUCCAUAAUAUCUUAGUAUUACCUGAUACAUAGAUUAAAGGUUACGGUAUGAGAUGAGCAUGCGUCCUAUUAGCUAGAUGGUGUGGUAACGGCAUACCAUGGCAACGAUAGGUAGGGGCCCUGAGAGGGGGAUCCCCCACACUGGUACUGAGACACGGACCAGACUCCUACGGGAGGCAGCAGUGAGGAAUAUUGGACAAUGGAGGGAACUCUGAUCCAGCCAUGCCGCGUGCAGGAAGACUGCCCUAUGGGUUGUAAACUGCUUUUGUAUGGGAAGAAACACUCCCUCGUGAGGGAAUUUGACGGUACCAUAAGAAUAAGCAUCGGCUAACUCCGUGCCAGCAGCCGCGGUAAUACGGAGGAUGCAAGCGUUAUCCGGAAUCAUUGGGUUUAAAGGGUCCGUAGUGGAUUAGUCAGUCAGAGGUGAAAUCCUGCAGCUUAACUGUAGAACUGCCUUUGAUACUGCUAAUCUUGAGUCAUUAUGAAGUAGUUAGAAUAUGUAGUGUAGCGGUGAAAUGCAUAGAUAUUACAUAGAAUACCAAUUGCGAAGCAGAUUACUAAUAAUGUACUGACACUGAUGGACGAAAGCGUGGGGAGCGAACGGGAUUAGAUACCCCGGUAGUCCACGCCGUAAACGAUGGAUACUAGCUGUUCGGAUUUAUCUGAGUGGCUAAGCGAAAGUGAUAAGUAUCCCACCUGGGGAGUACGUUCGCAAGAAUGAAACUCAAAGGAAUUGACGGGGGCCCGCACAAGCGUGGAGCAUGUGGUUUAAUUCGAUGAUA